This 440-nucleotide ribosomal RNA is filed under the name uncultured bacterium. RNAcentral describes it as "partial 16S ribosomal RNA". It matches the Rfam family "Bacterial small subunit ribosomal RNA", at positions 338 to 795 of the family's 1533-position model. The record is from RNAcentral.
CCUACGGGAGGCAGCAGUGGGGAAUAUUGCACAAUGGGGGAAACCCUGAUGCAGCGACGCCGCGUGAGUGAAGAAGUAAUUCGUUAUGUAAAGCUCUAUCAGCAGGGAAGAAAAGGACGGUACCUGAGUAAGAAGCACCGGCUAACUACGUGCCAGCAGCCGCGGUCAUACGUAGGGGGCAAGCGUUAUCCGGAUUUACUGGGGGGAAAGGGGACGUAGACGGCAGUGCAAGUCUAGAGUGAAAGGCGGGGGCUCAACCCCCGGACCGCUCUGGAAACUGUACGGCUGGAGUGCAGGAGAGGUAAGUGGAAUUCCUAGUGUAGCGGUGAAAUGCGUAGAUAUUAGGAGGAACACCAGUGGCGAAGGCGGCUUACUGGACUGUAACUGACGUUGAGGCUCGAAAGCGUGGGGAGCAAACAGGAUUAGAUACCCUUGUAGUC